RNAcentral lists this ribosomal RNA (258 nucleotides) under uncultured bacterium. Its description in RNAcentral is "partial 16S ribosomal RNA". It matches the Rfam family "Bacterial small subunit ribosomal RNA", at positions 96 to 354 of the family's 1533-position model. The record is from RNAcentral.
UGGCGGACGGGUGAGUAACGCGUGGAUAACCUGCCGUAUACUGGGGGAUAACACUUAGAAAUAGGUGCUAAUACCACAUAAGCGCACAGUCACGCAUGAGACGGUGUGAAAAACUCCGGUGGUAUACGAUGGAUCCGCGUCUGAUUAGCUUGUUGGCGGGGUAACAGCCCACCAAGGCGACGAUCAGUAGCCGGCCUGAGAGGGUGAACGGCCACAUUGGGACUGAGACACGGCCCAAACUCCUACGGAAGGCAGCAG